AUGGCCUUCUUUGCUGUGCUCCUCCUCCUCGUUCUGCUUGCUCUGUUUGCGGUUGCCGCCACGCAGCUGUGGAACUAUGCCGUCGUGCGCCUCGUAUGGAGGCCGUACGCCAUGAGCAAGUGGUUCAGAGAGCAAGGGAUCCAUGGACCCUCCUACAGCUUCUUGAAAGGCUGCAACGAGGACGUCAGGAGCAUGAAGGAGGAGACUGACCGUCUGGUGCUGGAGGUUGGCGACCACAAGUACCUCCCGCGGAUCGCCCCACACUACCUCAAAUGGAGGACUCUCUACGGAGAACCAUUUCUAUACUGGCAUGGGCCACAGGCCCGAAUCUGCAUAUUUGACUAUGAAUUGGCAAGGCAAAUCCUUUCAAGCAAGUCCGGACAUUUCGUAAAGAACGAUGCACACCCUACGCUCUUGGCUUUGGUUGGUAAGGGACUCGGGUUUAUGGAAGGAGCAGAUUGGGUGCGCCAUCGUAGGAUAAUCAACCCUGUUUUCACCAUUGAUAAGCUAAAGAUGAUGACAAAAACAAUGUUGGGUUUUGCCGAAAGCUUGGCUAAGGAGUUAGAAGAUAAAGCGUCUCAAAACAAGAAUGGAGAAACAAAAGUAGAUAUCAAUAAAUUUUUCAGUGAGCUAACAGUUGAUAAUAUAUCCUAUGCCAUCUUUGGAAGCAGUUAUAAAUUAGGAAAUGAAGUCUUCCGAGCUCAAACCGACCUGCUAGGGAUCACUAUGGAAACUUUCCUUGACGUGCCGAUACCAGGAUUCAAAUAUCUUCCUACUGAAAAGAAUCGACGCAAAUGGAUGCUUGAAAGGAAGCUUAAGAGCCUACUCACAGAAAUCAUACAACCACGAUUAGCAACUAGUGAAUACGGGAAUGACCUGCUCGGUGUGAUGCUUGACUCUUGCAUUGAAACCAAGCAAGGAGGGAAGCAAGUGGAUCUCAGCUUGAGCAUGGAGGAGAUCAUACAUGAGUGCAAGCUUUUCUUCUUUGCUGGUCAUGAAAACACAUCUCUUCUACUCACAUGGUCAGUGUAUUUGCUCAGCAUAUACCCAGAAUGGCAGGAAAAGCUCCGAAAUGAAGUCUUGAAGGAAUUUGGGAGGGAAUCUCCUAACCCCAAUGCGCUCAACAAACUGAAAGAGAUGACAAUGGUGCUCUUCGAGACCCUGAGGCUCUACUCGCCUGCUCUUUUUAUGCAAAGGAAAACCGUGGCCGAUAUGACAGUGGGAUCAAUAAAACUGCCCAAAGGCAUGGCAAUUGUCAUACCUAUUCCAAUUAUGCAUCGAGACAAGGAGGUUUGGGGUGACGACGCAGAUGAAUUCAAUCCACUGAGAUUUAAGAAUGGGAUCACAGGAGCAGCAAAGGUUCCACAUGGCCUGCUAGCGUUUUCAAUGGGACCAAGGUCUUGCAUCGGUCAGAACUUCUCUAUGUUGGAAGCGAAGUCGACGCUGGCCCUGAUGCUCCAGAAGUUCUCGUUCACUCUUUCCCCUGACUAUGUGCAUGCGCCCGUGGAUCUGUUUACCCUGAAACCUAAGUUUGGUCUUCCGGUAUUUCUGAGGCCGCUGGAUAAGUGUAACUAG
This 1575-nucleotide ribosomal RNA is filed under the name Triticum aestivum (bread wheat). RNAcentral describes it as "partial small subunit ribosomal RNA". The record is from RNAcentral. Lineage: Eukaryota; Viridiplantae; Streptophyta; Magnoliopsida; Poales; Poaceae.